This is a long non-coding RNA of Terrapene triunguis (Three-toed box turtle), 1331 nucleotides long. RefSeq lists it as uncharacterized. NCBI's taxonomy places the organism in Eukaryota, Metazoa, Chordata, Testudines, Emydidae. The transcript is spliced from 3 exons. The record is from RefSeq and is a predicted model, not a curated record.
CUGGGCAUGAGCACCGAGGUGCUGGUUGGGUACUAACAUGGUGGUGGGUGAAUGAACAUGUUGGCUGGUGAAGAAUGAGCCCGUGGCCUGACUUGAGGAAUGCUAUUCACGUUAAAGCUGACCUGAAGAGAAUCCAGCAUUCGGCUAAUAAGCUAAUGCUCCUCCGACUCAGUCGUGGGGAUUAUCCUAGUGGCGUCUGAUAUUGAGAAACCUACUUCAUUAGAUUUCAGCUUUGAAAUCCAUCUGGCAUGUGGGCAAAUUAAAAGCUUGAUCCCCUUUCCCACUUGCAGAAGUUGGUCCAAUCAAAGCUAUUACCUCACCCACCUUGUCUCCCCAAUAGCGUGGGACCAGCACGGCUACAACCACCCCUGCAUGAUUAAACAUUGUCAGUGAUGGAGAACCCACGGCGACCCUUGGCAUCAGAACUGGACACAGGAAUCCAGCAGUAGUUGCAUGAGCGCCAGAUACGGCGGUCAUGGAUAAAAAUGUUAAAUAGCAUAGGGCCAAGACCUGAUCCCUGCAAGACCCCGUAAGAAACACACCUGCGCCUUCCCUGUUUAGAUACCUUCGGAGACCUAGUAGUUAACCAGUUUUUAAACCAUUGAAUGUGUGCUAUGUUAAUUUUAUAUCAUUGUAGUUCUUUAAUUAAAAUGUUGUGCAGCACCAAGUCAAACAUCUAAGACUAUGGUCUACAUUAGAGACCUUACAGUGGCGGAGCUGUACUGAUGCAGCUGUGCUGCUGUAAGAUCUUCCACGUAGCCGCUCUAUGCUGACAGAAGAGAGCUCUCCCGCUGGCGUAAUUAAACUAGCUACCACCGCUCGUUGGGGGUAUGUCGGCGGAAGACUGUCUCUCGCCGACAUAGCGCUGUCCGUGCCGGCACUUCUGUCGGUGUAACUUAUGUCAAUCGGGGUGUGUUUUUGUUUCUUCCCCACGCCCCUGAGCAACAUAGCCUUUUGGUUGUUAAAAAUUAUGUCUAUACUAGCACAAGUAUAUUAUGUCAAACCUAUUACCUUUUAUCAACCGAACUUGUAAUCUCAUCAAUAAAGAUAUCUAAGUUAGUUUGACAGGAACUGUUUUCCAUAAACCCCUAUUGAUUGGCAUUAAUUAUAUUAUCCUCCUUUUUAAUUCUUUCUUAAUCAAAUCCCAUACGAGGCAUUCUGUUAUCUUGCUGAGGAUCAGUGUCAGGCUGUCAGGCCUAUAAUUACCUAGGUUAGCAUGUUUACUCUUUUUUAAAAUAUUGACACACCAUUAGCUUUUGUCCAGAACCUCCCCAGUAUUUCAAGACUUAAUUGAAAAGAAAAAUGAACAAUCCAGCAAGCUCCUCAACCAG